GAUGAUCGGUGCUUGCACCAAGAUUCAACAUGGAACGAGUGGCGGACGGGUGAGUAACACGUGGGUAACCUGCCCUUAAGUGGGGGAUAACAUUUGGAAACAGAUGCUAAUACCGCAUAGAUCCAAGAACCGCAUGGUUCUUGGCUGAAAGAUGGCGUAAGCUAUCGCUUUUGGAUGGACCCGCGGCGUAUUACCUAGUUGGUGAGGUAAUGGCUCACCAAGGCGAUGAUACGUACCCAAACUGAGAGGUUGAUCGGCCACAUUGGGACUGAGACACGGCCCAAACUCCUACGGGAGGCAGCAGUAGGGAAUCUUCCACAAUGGACGCAAGUCUGAUGGAGCAACGCCGCGUGAGUGAAGAAGGCUUUCGGGUCGUAAAACUCUGUUGUUGGAGAAGAAUGGUCGGCAGAGUAACUGUUGUCGGCGUGACGGUAUCCAACCAGAAAGCCACGGCUAACUACGUGCCAGCAGCCGCGGUAAUACGUAGGUGGCAAGCGUUAUCCGGAUUUAUUGGGCGUAAAGCGAGCGCAGGCGGUUUUU
RNAcentral lists this ribosomal RNA (540 nucleotides) under Lacticaseibacillus casei. Its description in RNAcentral is "bacterial SSU rRNA". It matches the Rfam family "Bacterial small subunit ribosomal RNA", at positions 68 to 583 of the family's 1533-position model. Lineage: Bacteria; Bacillati; Bacillota; Bacilli; Lactobacillales; Lactobacillaceae. The record is from RNAcentral.